AACGCACAUUGCGCCCUCUGGUAUUCCGGAGGGCAUGCCUGUUUGAGUGUCAUUAAUCUCUCACAGAGAACUCUUAUUUGGUUCUCUGUCGGUGUUGGGAUCUGCGAGUUUCUUUUGAACUUCGCUGUCCUCAAAUGAAUUGGUGCGGCCCGCCGCCCGGUUACACAACGUUCUAGGUUCGUCCAACUCGUUGAUUAUGCCGGUUGCAACAAUGGUUGCUGCACCUGAAGCCCGCUAUGUGCCUCUGUGCCCUUAGCUACACCUCAUUUAUUGACCUCAGAUCAGGUAGGAAUACGCGCUGAACUUAA
RNAcentral lists this unclassified non-coding RNA (308 nucleotides) under uncultured fungus. RNAcentral's name for it is "partial contains 5.8S ribosomal RNA, internal transcribed spacer 2, and large subunit ribosomal RNA". The stretch from base 1 to 52 matches the Rfam family "5.8S ribosomal RNA", at positions 103 to 154 of the family's 154-position model. The record is from RNAcentral. Lineage: Eukaryota; Fungi.